ACGAAUGCUGGCGGCAUGCCUAACACAUGCAAGUCGAACGAGACCUUCGGGUCUAGUGGCGCACGGGUGCGUAACGCGUGGGAACCUGCCCUUAGGUUCGGAAUAACUCCCCGAAAGGGGUGCUAAUACCGGAUAAUGUCUUCGGACCAAAGAUUUAUCGCCUUUGGAUGGGCCCGCGUUGGAUUAGCUAGUUGGUAGGGUAAAAGCCUACCAAGGCGACGAUCCAUAGCUGGUCUGAGAGGAUGAUCAGCCACACUGGGACUGAGACACGGCCCAGACUCCUACGGGAGGCAGCAGUGGGGAAUAUUGGACAAUGGGCGAAAGCCUGAUCCAGCAAUGCCGCGUGAGUGAUGAAGGCCUUAGGGUUGUAAAGCUCUUUUACCCGGGAUGAUAAUGACAGUACCGGGAGAAUAAGCUCCGGCUAACUCCGUG
This 432-nucleotide ribosomal RNA is filed under the name uncultured bacterium. Its description in RNAcentral is "partial 16S ribosomal RNA". It matches the Rfam family "Bacterial small subunit ribosomal RNA", at positions 29 to 507 of the family's 1533-position model. The record is from RNAcentral.